AAGUCGUAACAAGGUUUCCGUAGGUGAACCUGCGGAAGGAUCAUUAAAUGAAGCAACCUAGGAGCCUGAGAUAUGGCCACCGGGCACACCUUCCACCCUUUGUUUAUCACACUUUGUUGCUUUGGCAGGCCUGCCUCCGGGCUGCUGGCUCCGGCCGGCGAGCGCCUGCCAGAGGACCCAAACUCUGUUUGUCUGUAACGUCUGAGUACUAUAUAAUAGUUAAAACUUUCAACAACGGAUCUCUUGGUUCUG
Molecule: unclassified non-coding RNA, 252 nt
Filed under: [Chrysosporium] pseudomerdarium
Lineage: Eukaryota; Fungi; Ascomycota; Leotiomycetes; Thelebolales; Pseudeurotiaceae
Also listed under: 1 other name
Description: Chrysosporium pseudomerdarium partial internal transcribed spacer region
Rfam family: Eukaryotic small subunit ribosomal RNA (bases 1-46)
Source: RNAcentral